This 240-nucleotide unclassified non-coding RNA is filed under the name soil metagenome. RNAcentral's name for it is "partial contains 5.8S ribosomal RNA, internal transcribed spacer 2, and large subunit ribosomal RNA". The record is from RNAcentral.
AACAUCGCGCACCUGCGGGAACCUGCGGAAGGAUCAUUACCGAGUGCGGGUCCUCGUGGCCCAACCUCCCACCCGUGACUAUUGUACCUUGUUGCUUCGGCGGGCCCGCCAGCCCUGCUGGCCGCCGGGGGGCGUCUCGCCCCCGGGCCCGUGCCCGCCGGAGACCCCAACAUGAACCCUGUUCUGAAAGCUUGCAGUCUGAGUGUGAUUCUUUGCAAUCAGUUAAAACUUUCAACAAUG